AUUCGAAAUAAUAAUCAAAGGGCAUGCAUAUAAAAAAAUAUUAAUAAUAAACCAACAAAAUGUUUUUUUAAAAUGAAUAACUACAUGGAUGAGCAUGAAUGGUUGUCUCUUUCUAUGCGUUAGCCCUGUGACAGUUUUGGAUGGAUGGAUGUCAUAAAUCACACGGACGCAGCUUUAUCACAGAAAUACUUAGAUGCUAUGCUGUAACUAUAAUUAUUCGUGGAGCUCAUAAGAUGUAAUGAAUGUUUUUUGAACCAGUCAAAAUGGCGCCCCGUGAAGGAUACGAGGAUGGAAACAUCGCAGAGAAGCACAUAGCAGAGACCGGAGCGACCGGCUGGUCCACAUUCACAAAGCGUCCCAUCAGUCGGUGCUUCAGUUAUCACCGCAAACAUACAGAUGAUGAGCUACAGAUGGACACACCGAAGUUUCCCACAGCCAAGUUUCUGCUGAUGAAACACAACUGCAACCAGGAGCUGAUCGGAUCUAAAAUGGAGAAUGAAAUUGUGAAACCUCCGUGUGUGAGGACAAACAGUAGAAGGUUUCCCCCCGAUUUAUAGAUUCCACCCUGAACCUUUGAAAAGACACGUUAUGCCUAAGAUGAGGAAUGAAAUCCUUGAGAAGCUCGAUUGAUUCUUGUAAAUCUCCUGCCAAACUCAGCGGGGCAUGAAAAGCGAGACUGCCGUUACAGUUGCUGUAAAAAGUUGCUAGAAAAAGACGUAAAUGCCAACAAAAAAAAGAG
Molecule: long non-coding RNA, 739 nt
Filed under: Oreochromis niloticus (Nile tilapia)
Lineage: Eukaryota; Metazoa; Chordata; Actinopteri; Cichliformes; Cichlidae
Description: lncRNA (ENSONIG00000026883.2)
Source: RNAcentral